ACUCCUACGGGAGGCAGCAGUAGGGAAUAUUGGGCAAUGGGCGCAAGCCUGACCCAGCGACGCCGCGUGAGGGAUGAAGGUCUUCGGAUUGUAAACCUCUUUCAGUAGGGAAGAAGCGAAAGUGACGGUACCUAAAGAAGAAGCACCGGCUAACU
This 155-nucleotide ribosomal RNA is filed under the name uncultured bacterium. RNAcentral's name for it is "partial 16S ribosomal RNA". It matches the Rfam family "Bacterial small subunit ribosomal RNA", at positions 335 to 502 of the family's 1533-position model. The record is from RNAcentral.